GACGAACGCUGGCGGCGUGCUUAACACAUGCAAGUCGAACGGAAAGGCCCUGCUUUUGUGGGGUGCUCGGGUGGCGAACGGGUGAGUAACACGUGAGUAACCUGCCCUUGACUUUGGGAUAACUUCAGGAAACUGGGGCUAAUACCGGAUAGGAGCUCCUGCUGCAUGGUGGGGGUUGGAAAGUUUCGGCGGUUGGGGAUGGACUCGCGGCUUAUCAGCUUGUUGGUGGGGUAGUGGCUUACCAAGGCUUUGACGGGUAGCCGGCCUGAGAGGGUGACCGGCCACAUGGGGACUGAGAUACGGCCCAGACUCCUACGGGAGGCAGCAGUGGGGAAUAUUGCACAAUGGGCGGAAGCCUGAUGCAGCAACGCCGCGUGCGGGAUGACGGCCUUCGGGUUGUAAACCGCUUUCGCCUGUGACGAAGCGUGAGUGACGGUAAUGGGUAAAGAAGCACCGGCUAACUACGUG
This 468-nucleotide ribosomal RNA is filed under the name uncultured bacterium. Its description in RNAcentral is "partial 16S ribosomal RNA". It matches the Rfam family "Bacterial small subunit ribosomal RNA", at positions 28 to 507 of the family's 1533-position model. The record is from RNAcentral.